Anthonomus grandis grandis is the source of this 688-nucleotide long non-coding RNA. RefSeq lists it as uncharacterized. Lineage: Eukaryota; Metazoa; Arthropoda; Insecta; Coleoptera; Curculionidae. The transcript has 4 exons. The record is from RefSeq and is a predicted model, not a curated record.
CUACGUCGCGAUUUUUCUACGUCAGUCUCUCUCUACAGUAGAACCGCGACAUCCGUAAAGUUCAGCUCGUUUCACUCUGAGAGAAUUUUCCGGGUUUUCUUUUGAGGUUUUAAGGCGGUUUUCGAGCGUUUUACGUGGCUGGCGUACCUCAGGCGUUUUCCGGGUUGGGCGUUAACAAACCUCAACACUUCCUCUGGUAGAGGCCUCCAAGGCUAGAAAGAUUUCAUCAAAGAGCAAAGGCGAAUUCGAUUCCCUUUCGCGAUGGUUUUCACCGGAUCUGUGCCCGCCCAAGCAGCGUCAUGGCGAGAAACUUCUCAGCAGCACCACCAGCACGUCGUACCGCAUUUAUCCAAUCGAUAUCCAGAACCGCUCGGCGAGUACCAACAGCCCCAGUCACUGUACGGAGAUCCCCCCCUCCUCCACCGUGGACCUGAGCGACCUCUUGGACCUGGAGUUCGAAAGUCGCUUGGUAAACAGCCUACGGGAACAAGAUCAGAUUACGGUGACGGUGGAACAGGAACGGGAAAACUGUGCCUGGGAAACUGUUCGAUUCGAAUUAUUGUAAAAGUGUUUUUUUUUCUAUGUAUAGUGUGAGGUGAGGAGGCUUUCCUCAACAUCCCUCUGAACAGGACAGGACUUACACGUAUCUAUUUUUUUUUUUUACUAAUUAAAUGGUUGUUUUUUUCUU